RNAcentral lists this long non-coding RNA (215 nucleotides) under Elaeis guineensis (African oil palm). RNAcentral describes it as "long non-coding RNA (EGUI_LNC030383)". The record is from RNAcentral. Lineage: Eukaryota; Viridiplantae; Streptophyta; Magnoliopsida; Arecales; Arecaceae.
CAUGGUUGGGGUAACUGAUACCAAUUAUCUCCUACUACACCUCCCAAUGUGGUGCCACUUGUCAAACCAAUAGAUCUUAUCUUAUUUAUUAGGUUGAUAACCCCAAUAUCACUCAUCAGAUUGGUAAUCAUUCUUCCCGUCAUAUCUCUACUAGCCUACUUUAUAUCAUCAUUUCAUGUAUUUGGCUUCUAGGAGUAUUCUCACUUUUUCCUCUA